This 1324-nucleotide ribosomal RNA is filed under the name metagenome. RNAcentral's name for it is "bacterial SSU rRNA". It matches the Rfam family "Bacterial small subunit ribosomal RNA", at positions 185 to 1498 of the family's 1533-position model. The record is from RNAcentral.
GACACGUGUCAUUUAUUUGAAAGGGGCAAUUGUUCCACUACAAGAUGGACCUGCGUUGUAUUAGCUAGUAGGUGAGGUAAUGGCUCACCUAGGCGACGAUACAUAGCCGACCUGAGGGGGUGAUCGGCCACACUGGGACUGAGACACGGCCCAGACUCCUACGGGAGGCAGCAGUAGGGAAUCUUCGGCAAUGGGGGCAACCCUGACCGAGCAACGCCGCGUGAGUGAAGAAGGUUUUCGGAUCGUAAAGCUCUGUUGUAAGUCAAGAACGGGUGUGAGAGUGGAAAGUUCACACUGUGACGGUAGCUUACCAGAAAGGGACGGCUAACUACGUGCCAGCAGCCGCGGUAAUACGUAGGUCCCGAGCGUUGUCCGGAUUUAUUGGGCGUAAAGCGAGCGCAGGCGGUUUGAUAAGUCUGAAGUUAAAGGCUGUGGCUCAACCAUAGUUCGCUUUGGAAACUGUCAAACUUGAGUGCAGAAGGGGAGAGUGGAAUUCCAUGUGUAGCGGUGAAAUGCGUAGAUAUAUGGAGGAACACCGGUGGCGAAAGCGGCUCUCUGGUCUGUAACUGACGCUGAGGCUCGAAAGCGUGGGGAGCGAACAGGAUUAGAUACCCUGGUAGUCCACGCCGUAAACGAUGAGUGCUAGGUGUUGGAUCCUUUCCGGGAUUCAGUGCCGCAGCUAACGCAUUAAGCACUCCGCCUGGGGAGUACGACCGCAAGGUUGAAACUCAAAGGAAUUGACGGGGGCCCGCACAAGCGGUGGAGCAUGUGGUUUAAUUCGAAGCAACGCGAAGAACCUUACCAGGUCUUGACAUCCCGAUGCUAUUUCUAGAGAUAGAAAGUUACUUCGGUACAUCAGUGACAGGUGGUGCAUGGUUGUCGUCAGCUCGUGUCGUGAGAUGUUGGGUUAAGUCCCGCAACGAGCGCAACCCCUAUUGUUAGUUGCUAUCAUUUAGUUGGGCACUCUAGCGAGACUGCCGGUAAUAAACCGGAGGAAGGUGGGGAUGACGUCAAAUCAUCAUGCCCCUUAUGACCUGGGCUACACACGUGCUACAAUGGUUGGUACAACGAGUUGCGAGUCGGUGACGGCGAGCUAAUCUCUUAAAGCCAAUCUCAGUUCGGAUUGUAGGCUGCAACUCGCCUACAUGAAGUCGGAAUCGCUAGUAAUCGCGGAUCAGCACGCCGCGGUGAAUACGUUCCCGGGCCUUGUACACACCGCCCGUCACACCACGAGAGUUUGUAACACCCGAAGUCGGUGAGGUAACCUUUUGGAGCCAGCCGCCUAAGGUGGGGCAGAUGAUUGGGGUGAAGUCGAAACAAGGUA